This 468-nucleotide ribosomal RNA is filed under the name uncultured bacterium. RNAcentral describes it as "partial 16S ribosomal RNA". It matches the Rfam family "Bacterial small subunit ribosomal RNA", at positions 28 to 507 of the family's 1533-position model. The record is from RNAcentral.
GACGAACGCUGGCGGCGUGCUUAACACAUGCAAGUCGAACGGAAAGUCCCUGCUUUUGUGGGGUGCUCUAGUGGCGAACGGGUGAGUAACACUUGAGUAACCUGCCCUUGACUUUGGGAUAACUUCAGGAAACUGGGGCUAAUACCGGAUAGGAUCUCCUGCUGCUUGGUGGGGGUUGGAUAGUUUCGGCGGUUGGGGAUGGACUCGCGGCUUAUCAGCUUGUUGGUGGGGUAGUGGCUUACCAAGGCUUUGACGGGUAGCCGGCCUGAGAGGGUGACCGGCCAAAUUGGGACUGAGAUACGGCACAGACUCCUACGGGAGGCAGCAGUGGGGAAUAGUGCACAAUGGGCGGAAGCAUGACGCAGCAAAGCAGCGUGCGGGAUGACGGCAUUCGGGUUGUAAACCGCUUUGGCCUGUCACGAAGCGUGAGUGACGGUAAUGGGUAAAGAAGCACCGGCUAACUCCGUG